GGAGAGAUGACAGAGUGGUCGAUCGUGGCGGUCUCGAAAACCGUUGUACGGACAACCGUACCGGGAGUUCGAAUCUCCCUCUCUCCGCCA
RNAcentral lists this transfer RNA (90 nucleotides) under Alphaproteobacteria bacterium. Its description in RNAcentral is "tRNA-Ser". It matches the Rfam family "tRNA". Rfam says of the family: Transfer RNA (tRNA) molecules are approximately 80 nucleotides in length. Their secondary structure includes four short double-helical elements and three loops (D, anti-codon, and T loops). The record is from RNAcentral. Lineage: Bacteria; Pseudomonadati; Pseudomonadota; Alphaproteobacteria.